UACGUAGGGCGCAAGCGUUGUCCGGAAUUAUUGGGCGUAAAGAGCUCGUAGGCGGCCUGUUGCGUCCGCUGUGAAAUCCCGGGGCUCAACCCCGGGCCUGCAGUGGAUACGGGCUGGCUGGAGGCAGGCAGGGGAGAACGGAAUUCAUGGUGUAGCGGUGAAAUGCGCAGAUAUCAGGAGGAACACCGGUGGCGAAGGCGGUUCUCUGGGCCUGUUCUGACGCUGAGGAGCGAAAGCGUGGGGAGCGAACAGG
Molecule: ribosomal RNA, 253 nt
Filed under: uncultured bacterium
Lineage: Bacteria
Description: partial 16S ribosomal RNA
Rfam family: Bacterial small subunit ribosomal RNA
Source: RNAcentral